UACACACCGCCCGUCACACCACGAAAGCUGUUUGUACCCAAAGCCACUUUAGCUAACCUGUAAAGGAGGCGAGUGUCUAAGGUAUGAAGAGUGAUUGGGGUG
Molecule: ribosomal RNA, 102 nt
Filed under: uncultured bacterium
Lineage: Bacteria
Description: partial 16S ribosomal RNA
Rfam family: Bacterial small subunit ribosomal RNA
Source: RNAcentral